AGAGUUUGAUCAUGGCUCAGAUUGAACGCUGGCGGCAUGCCUUACACAUGCAAGUCGAACGGUAACAGGUCUUUCGGGAUGCUGACGAGUGGCGAACGGGUGAGUAAUACAUCGGAACGUGCCCAGUAAUGGGGGAUAGCUCGGCGAAAGCCGGAUUAAUACCGCAUACGCCCUGAGGGGGAAAGUGGGGGACCGCAAGGCCUCACGUUAUUGGAGCGGCCGAUGGCUGAUUAGCUAGUUGGUAGGGUAAAGGCCUACCAAGGCAACGAUCAGUAGCUGGUCUGAGAGGACGAUCAGCCACACUGGGACUGAGACACGGCCCAGACUCCUACGGGAGGCAGCAGUGGGGAAUUUUGGACAAUGGGCGAAAGCCUGAUCCAGCCAUGCCGCGUGUGUGAAGAAGGCCUUCGGGUUGUAAAGCACUUUAAGCGAGGAGGAAGGUUCGUCACCUAAUACGUGACGGAAUUGACGUUACUCGCAGAAUAAGCACCGGCUAACUCUGUGCCAGCAGCCGCGGUAAUACAGAGGGUGCAAGCGUUAAUCGGAAUUACUGGGCGUAAAGCGCGCGUAGGCGGUUGCGUAAGUUGGAUGUGAAAUCCCCGGGCUUAACCUGGGCACUGCAUUCAAAACUGCACGCUAGAGUAUUGGAGAGGAAGGUAGAAUUCCAGGUGUAGCGGUGAAAUGCGUAGAGAUCUGGAGGAAACCGAUGGCGAAG
This 715-nucleotide ribosomal RNA is filed under the name uncultured Burkholderiaceae bacterium. RNAcentral's name for it is "bacterial SSU rRNA". It matches the Rfam family "Bacterial small subunit ribosomal RNA", at positions 8 to 720 of the family's 1533-position model. The record is from RNAcentral. Lineage: Bacteria; Pseudomonadati; Pseudomonadota; Betaproteobacteria; Burkholderiales; Burkholderiaceae.